AUACUCUAGUUUCUCUUCAGAUCACAUAAAUCUUUCACCUUUUACUAAAGAUUUCCAUAGAGGGGAACACCAAUUGGGGUUGGACUAGAUGACAUUUAACAGUCUUUUCUAACCCCAAAUAU
This 122-nucleotide small nuclear RNA is filed under the name Leptosomus discolor (cuckoo roller). RNAcentral describes it as "U5 spliceosomal RNA". It matches the Rfam family "U5 spliceosomal RNA". From Rfam's summary of the family: U5 RNA is a component of both types of known spliceosome. The precise function of this molecule is unknown, though it is known that the 5' loop is required for splice site selection and p220 binding, and that both the 3' stem-loop and the Sm site are important for Sm protein binding and cap methylation. Lineage: Eukaryota; Metazoa; Chordata; Aves; Leptosomiformes; Leptosomidae. The record is from Rfam by way of RNAcentral.